Ostrinia nubilalis (European corn borer) is the source of this 1443-nucleotide long non-coding RNA. RefSeq lists it as uncharacterized. The record is from RefSeq and is a predicted model, not a curated record. The transcript is spliced from 2 exons. NCBI's taxonomy places the organism in Eukaryota, Metazoa, Arthropoda, Insecta, Lepidoptera, Crambidae.
AGGACAUUGUCAGAAACCGCCUAAAAAACCGCCCAAAAACAUUAACCCAUCAUAAUUAUUUUCUAUUUUUUUUAAUACAUUAAGCACCCUUUCAUUCUAAUGGACACUUAAGCAUUGAAAAAUUAAAUAAAUAAGUCUUUUAACGUUUAUUCUAUAAUACUAUUACAACUUCCGGACGUUUUGGUGCGUGGCAUGGUCUAAAACCUAUCAAGUUCCAUAAUUUUUGCCGAUAAAAUCUGUACGAGGCAUUACCGUACUUUAUUGCUGGGAGUCCAUGUAUAGUGAUGUUCCUGCGGCCAUCAUAGACAAUAAAAUAUCGAUUUUGAAAAUAAAAUAAAUCGAUUAAACUGCUUUGAAGACUAGAUUUGCGUUAAAAGCUAAAAAGAUAUUGACAGUUUGACACUAUUACAAGAAGAUAUCUAAAGUGUCCAACUGGUCGAAGGUCGUAAAUAAAAUAAAAAUAAUUAGGACCAUAAACUGAUAUUCAUGGUAUCAUAACUGUAAAAGUGUCAGAAUCCGAUGUUGAAUCCAAUGCCAGUUGAAGUGUGAGAAACAUAUAUUUUUUUUUUUUAUGUGACAGGAGGCAAAUGAGCAGACGGAUCACCUGAUAUCAACCUAGUAUAGUUGCCAGUCUCUCAUAAUCUAUGCCAAUGAGGGUUUUCGCGAUUGAAAAAUCCGCCAGAUGGCAAUACGUAGACGUGAGGUCCAAAUGCUGCAUGAUUGGUUAUUUUUGACAUGACAUUGACAGAUAUCCACCAAUCAUGCAGCAUUUGGACCUCGCGUCUACGUAUUGCCAUCUCGCGGAUUUUUCAAUCGCGAAAACCCUCAUUCAUAGCACAUGUAUAAUAAUAGACCAAAUGAACUUUUAUAGAUUGUGAAAGAGAAGAUAAAGAUUUUAUUAUUUUAUUAAAAUCUUGCCACGAGGUAGUUUUUCAGUAGAAACCAGGAUUGGAUAAUCGCUACAGAAAGAAAACCAAUGUGGUGCCCUUAUUAUUCAUGCUGUUUGAAAGUUACAAGUCAGUGAUACAGAGUUGCCGACAUUAUAACUCCGUAGUGAUACCAUACCAAAGAAGAAGUUUUCCUAAACACUUGUGUUGUUUUUAUAUGUGAUCGAAUAAAAAGGAUUAAUUCUACUGCUCAAAUGGAAUAACUUAUCCCAAGAGACCGAAUAUAAAAAAAACCUCUCCAUAGAAAUUAUCACCAUCACGAGGAUGUGAAUUUUUUUGAGAAUUUGAUAUUGGUCCUGUAAGAAAAGUAGUUGUAUUUCAGUAGUAGAAUCAACCCUUCUUGUUUCAUCAGCAAGAGUAACUAUAAAAACGCCCUGUAGGUAGGUAUUAUUAAGCUGAAGAGUUUGUUUAGUGUCAAAGACUGUCACACAGUGUAACUUAAAUUGGCAUAUUAUGAUAAUGAACAUAAAAACUUAAAUAAAUAUUUAUGUUAAUA